UUUUUUUUUUUUUUUUUUUUUUAGUACUACUUACUUUUUUUUUUUUUAUACUGUUUUAUACUUGUUUAUUUUUUAUACUACUUGUUUAUUUUUUAAUAUUAUUUAUUAUUAUUUUUUUGUUUAAUCUUUUAUUUAAUUUAACACUUGCUAUAUUUUAACUUGUUAUAUUUUUUAAAAGGUUUUAUCUAUAUGGAACGGUAGGGGGUGAAAAAAAAAAAAAAAAAAAAAAAGGCAUUAUAAUAGAACCAAUUUCUCAAAAUAUGUUUAUGAUGUUAAAAAAAUUAAUAUUUUCUAAAUAAUAUAAUGUAGAAAAGAAAAAUAGGAAAAAAGAAGAGGUUAUUUUUGAUUUUAUUUCUCUUUUGUUUAUUAACUAACGAUUAAUAUAUUAGAAAAACAAAAUAAGUCACAAUAUUUUAUUUAUAAUAGUAUUUAGUAUAGUGACGCUAUUAUAUAUGUAUUCAAAUUAAUAGAAAAGUGUGUGCACGAAUGCACACAUGAACAUAUAACUGAGUGUAUGUAUAUAUCUAUAUACAAAGUGGUUGUAAAAACAAGAGAACAAAUGCGAAAGUUCAAGCAUAAUUACAAGCAAAACACAUAAGCAAAAACCCGAUGUAAAUUAAAAAAAUGAAAACAAGAGAAGAAAACUUUAUUCUCGCUGAAAAAAUUUUAAAAGAUAUAUAUUCACUGUCCUUAAUUCAAAAUAUUGAUAUAGAUAUUAUCCAAGAAGGAUUACUAAAACAUGUUAUGGAUAAUGAAGAAUCACACAGUGUUGUAUUCGAAGAAGAGAGUCAAAGUAGCGAGAAUGAAUUAGCAAUUUUAAAUGCAUGUUUAAAAUUAGAUAAGGAAAAACAUACAACAAAUAAUCGUGAACUAAGAUGUGUAAAUAUUAACAUAAAAAUAGAUUUACAUGAAAAAAAAGAUUAGUUACUGUUUAGAUAGAUAUAAAAUUCACAAAUGUUAUAGUGAUAAAAUAACAAUUCUUUUGAAUAAUUUAGGUAAAGAAUGUUUAAAUCUUAAAGAAUGUGUAUUAUAUUUAUAUAAUUCAAUUAAUGAUUGUAAUUUAAUGAAAUGUGUUUGUUGGAUUGAUGGUAAAACUGAAGAUGAAUAUAAUAAAAAAGAACAAAAACAUUAUAUUGAAAAAAAA
Molecule: long non-coding RNA, 1144 nt
Filed under: Piliocolobus tephrosceles (Ugandan red Colobus)
Lineage: Eukaryota; Metazoa; Chordata; Mammalia; Primates; Cercopithecidae
Description: lncRNA (ENSPTEG00000000782.1)
Source: RNAcentral